Molecule: ribosomal RNA, 118 nt
Filed under: Castor canadensis (American beaver)
Lineage: Eukaryota; Metazoa; Chordata; Mammalia; Rodentia; Castoridae
Source: RNAcentral
GUCUACAGCCAUACCACCCUGAACGUGCCAGUCUCGUCUGGUCUCGGAAGCUAAGCAGGGUCGGGCCUGGUUAGUACCUGGAUGGGAGACAGAUCUUCAGAGAAGACUGUCAGAGACA